UAUACUUUAUAGGUUUUUCCUUCACACUUAUCUAUAUGUCCGCAGCAUAAAUUGACAAGUACUUAUGAAUCUAUGAAUUUUAUAGACCUUCCUGUGUUUCACGAUCUUGUCCAAUCUUGCCCAUCUUACCAUCUUGUAUUAAAAACGACGCUAUGUCGCCAUUUUUAAAAUUUUGCAAUUUCAUUUGCUUUUCGAUUGAUGAUAAAUAAGAAUGGAAGAGUGUUCAUUUUGAUGCAACUGAAAAAGCAAGUGGCAAACAACAAAAAAAUGGUGUUCGUUUCAUUUUGGAGGAUCUUCUAUUACGAACAUUGGUUGUGUCAGUGUUCUAUCCAGAAAGUAGAUGUCCUAAAAAGAAGCACAAAAGUGCCUUUUUUCUACAGGGAGAGCACAGGGUACCAUUGCUAAGGGAAAGAUUUAUGACGAAUGGACUGAUUGUCCAAGUGAAGAGAAAUUACAGCUAAUUCUGAUGGUACUGAAAGAGUCGAUGAUUUUGACGUCUUACCCUUGCAACAUAAUUUUGCACCUGAGAUGGGGAGACAUUUGAAAAUUACUUUGGAAACGACUAAAACAACAACUUGUCUGCAGUGGUAUUCCUCCUGAAUUUGGCUUGUUCAUUCUACGUGUGGACCUUAGAAAGCUACUUUCUGCAGAUAAUUAAGAUUGUCCAACAAAUGAGUUCAGUUUGGCGGUACUCGAACAACCGUCUACAUGGGUGUGGUCUUUUCAGGACUUUGUUCCUGAUUUGAUAUUUUUAUCUUCACUUUGCAACACCAUGCAGUUGAUUUUCGACCGAUUAGUGGGAGCAACUAAGGAUCUAUUUGAUUUCAAAUGGCACAACAAGAUUUCUGCUAUGGUGUUUUUCCUGGAUUAGUUUGCUCUUCACACCUGCAAACAGUUUCAGUCUGCAGUUAAUUAAGGUGAGAAACUUGAUACAGUUAAUUUUAAUUGCUCAUUAUUAAUCUAUUACCACCGUAUCUGUUUCAGAUCAACGUUGGAGAAGCCAAAGAUGACCCCAUAGUUGAAAUACUUCUUUUAUCUUGCAUGCUUUAUCUAAUAGAAUUCAUUAAGUUCAUUUUAUUCAAAUUAAUUUUUUAUUUUGCAUGCUUAUCUUUGUUCAUUUUAUUU
This is a long non-coding RNA of Agrilus planipennis (emerald ash borer), 1125 nucleotides long. RefSeq lists it as uncharacterized. The transcript is spliced from 5 exons. Lineage: Eukaryota; Metazoa; Arthropoda; Insecta; Coleoptera; Buprestidae. The record is from RefSeq and is a predicted model, not a curated record.